AGAGUUUGAUCAUGGCUCACGACCAACGCUGGCGGCGUGCUUAAUACAUGCGAGUCGAGCGGAGCCCUUCGGGGCUUAGCGGCGGGCGGGUGAGUAACACGUGGAUAACCUGCCUCUGGAUCUGGGACAACCGCUCGAAAGGGCUGCUAAUACCGGAUAAGCUCACGGCCUCGCAUGGGGCUGGGAGAAAAGGCGCUGUAAGGCGCUGUGCACAGAGGGGUCCGCGGCCCAUUAGCUAGUUGGAGGGGUAACGGCCCACCAAGGCGACUAUGGGUAGCUGGUCUGAGAGGACGGGCA
RNAcentral lists this ribosomal RNA (297 nucleotides) under uncultured bacterium. RNAcentral describes it as "partial 16S ribosomal RNA". It matches the Rfam family "Bacterial small subunit ribosomal RNA", at positions 8 to 306 of the family's 1533-position model. The record is from RNAcentral.